Molecule: ribosomal RNA, 519 nt
Filed under: Stenotrophomonas maltophilia
Lineage: Bacteria; Pseudomonadati; Pseudomonadota; Gammaproteobacteria; Lysobacterales; Lysobacteraceae
Description: bacterial SSU rRNA
Rfam family: Bacterial small subunit ribosomal RNA
Source: RNAcentral
UGCAGUCGAACGGCAGCACAGGAGAGCUUGCUCUCUGGGUGGCGAGUGGCGGACGGGUGAGGAAUACAUCGGAAUCUACUCUGUCGUGGGGGAUAACGUAGGGAAACUUACGCUAAUACCGCAUACGACCUACGGGUGAAAGCAGGGGAUCUUCGGACCUUGCGCGAUUGAAUGAGCCGAUGUCGGAUUAGCUAGUUGGCGGGGUAAAGGCCCACCAAGGCGACGAUCCGUAGCUGGUCUGAGAGGAUGAUCAGCCACACUGGAACUGAGACACGGUCCAGACUCCUACGGGAGGCAGCAGUGGGGAAUAUUGGACAAUGGGCGCAAGCCUGAUCCAGCCAUACCGCGUGGGUGAAGAAGGCCUUCGGGUUGUAAAGCCCUUUUGUUGGGAAAGAAAUCCAGCCGGCUAAUACCUGGUUGGGAUGACGGUACCCAAAGAAUAAGCACCGGCUAACUUCGUGCCANCNGCCGCGGUAAUACNAAGGGNGCAAGNGUUACUCGGAAUUACUGGGCGUAAAG